GACGAACGCUGGCGGCGUGCUUAACACAUGCAAGUCGAACGAGGCCCAACUGAUGGCAACAUCAGGGAAGGCCUAGUGGCGAACGGGUGCGUAACACGUGAGGAACUUACCCCGAUCUCUGGGAUAACAGUUGGAAACGACUGCUAAUACCGGAUGCCGUCGCAGCAUCGCAUGGUGCAGUGACGAAAGGGCUACCGGAUCGGGAGAGCCUCGCGGCCUAUCAGCUUGUUGGUGGGGUAAUGGCCUACCAAGGCAUCGACGGGUAGCUGGUCUGAGAGGAUGAUCAGCCACACUGGGACUGAGACACGGCCCAGACUCCUACGGGAGGCAG
RNAcentral lists this ribosomal RNA (331 nucleotides) under uncultured Pseudomonadota bacterium. RNAcentral's name for it is "bacterial SSU rRNA". It matches the Rfam family "Bacterial small subunit ribosomal RNA", at positions 28 to 351 of the family's 1533-position model. The record is from RNAcentral. Lineage: Bacteria; Pseudomonadati; Pseudomonadota.